This is a non-coding RNA of Triticum urartu, 115 nucleotides long. Lineage: Eukaryota; Viridiplantae; Streptophyta; Magnoliopsida; Poales; Poaceae. The record is from Rfam.
CUACUACUCCCUCCGUUCGGAAUUACUUGUCGCAGAAAUGGAUAUAUCUAAACAUAUUUUAGUUCUAGAUAUAUCCAUAUCCGAGACAACUAAUUCCGAACGGAGAGAGUGGCAU